CCCUUAGAUGUUCUGGGCCGCACGCGCGCUACACUGACUGGUGCAACAAGUGUCUGACCUUGGCUCGACAGGCCCGGGCAAUCUUUGAACGCUGGUCGUGAUGGGGAUAGACUUUUGCAAUUUUUGGUCUUCAACGAGGAAUUCCUAGUAAACGCAAGUCAUCAACUUGCAUUGAUUACGUCCCUGCCCUUUGUACACACCGCCCGUCGCACCUACCGAUUGAAUGGUCCGGUGAAGCCUCCGGAUUGGCGCGCACCUCGGUGCCGCCAAGAAGUUGGCUAAACCUUACCAUUUAGAGGAAGGUGAAGUCGUANCA
This 316-nucleotide ribosomal RNA is filed under the name uncultured eukaryote. Its description in RNAcentral is "partial 18S ribosomal RNA". It matches the Rfam family "Eukaryotic small subunit ribosomal RNA", at positions 1470 to 1796 of the family's 1831-position model. The record is from RNAcentral.